Bufo bufo (common toad) is the source of this 140-nucleotide long non-coding RNA. RefSeq lists it as uncharacterized. The transcript has 3 exons. The record is from RefSeq and is a predicted model, not a curated record. NCBI's taxonomy places the organism in Eukaryota, Metazoa, Chordata, Amphibia, Anura, Bufonidae.
CAAUUCAGCAGUGUAAAAGGUACAUCCGCACGUUCAGGACUCAUGUGCGGAGAAUUCGCACUGAAAUCUGCAGGUGUUCGCAGGCAAAUCUGUGCGGUCAAUCCGCAUCAAUUGGAUGCGGAUUUUCCGCAUGCGGAUUU